RNAcentral lists this unclassified non-coding RNA (166 nucleotides) under uncultured Sordariomycetes. RNAcentral's name for it is "sequence contains ITS2". The record is from RNAcentral. Lineage: Eukaryota; Fungi; Ascomycota; Sordariomycetes.
CAAACCUCAAGCAAAUUUCUUGGCUUGGUGUUGGGACAUCUGUAAGACCCUUGUCUUACAGGCCCUUAAAGCUGACGGCGGACCUGUUAGGCCUCUGAGCGCAGUAAAUUUCUCGCUUGUGGGGCUCUAUAUAGGCUUCCAGUCCUUAUAAAUUAUUCUUUUACAA